Felis catus (domestic cat) is the source of this 85-nucleotide non-coding RNA. The record is from Rfam. NCBI's taxonomy places the organism in Eukaryota, Metazoa, Chordata, Mammalia, Carnivora, Felidae.
GCCUGGGUGGCUCAGUUGGUUGAGCAUCUGACUUUGGCUCAGGUCAUGAUCUCACGGUUCAUGAGUUUGAGCCCCUCAUCAGGCU